CGUUUUUACUUUCAACUUCACCAAACUCAAAUCCCCCUUUUACUUUCUUGUUUUAAAAUCUUUUGUUUACAUGUUUAACUUUGUUUCUUUUUGUUUUUGAGUCAGUAUAGAGGUUUUAGCAAGCCCUCCUAAUCCCCGGUUUAGAACGAUCCCUACUUACAUACUUUGCUACAAUUGUCAAAAAGAGGGUUUAAUUUGUGUGUUAACUUAUUUUACGCAUCAAAUUACAUGAAGUUGUGGACUUUUGUGUUUUUACAAAGUGACCCCAAAAGUUUUUGUAUUUGCAUUGUGGCCCAAUUGUUGUGGUCAUAGUUUCCUUAUGGCCCAAAUAAGAUGAGAACAAAAUGGUUUUGUCUCCUAAAUGAGAAUUGGAUUUUCAUUUCAUUUAGUUCCAUUUAAAUCAAUUCUAUGGAUCCAAAAACCAAUUGUUUAAAGUUGUUUUCUUAGUUAAUGUGAUUGAUUAAGAAAAGGGUGAUUAUGAACCAAAGGCCUCGAUAAUUGAGCUAUGUGAUUGGCCGAUUUACAUUAUGAAUGUUUGGGUUAAGUAGAUGAGAUUUGAAGGUAAUUUGAUUAAUUCAAUUUGUUGUAAAUGGACAUAAGUCCAUCAUUUGUGUUGUAAAAGGGCAUAAGCCCUUAUUAUUAUUUCAUGUAUUCCUUUUGUUUAUAUGUAUGCAAAUUGGAAUAGUUGGGUCCAACGCCCAAUAGGAAAUAACGGUUUAAUUGGAUUAAACGCGUAACUAAAAUCAACAACUAUCUACCUUAAACCCAAGGUCCAACACAAGGCUCGUGUUGGAUCAAAUCAAACGGUUCAUAAUCAUCCUAAAACCUAAUAUGACUAUAUAGUCCAUAUGAGGAUGCAAUGCAUUCGUUAAUAGUUCCAUAUAGUCUCACUUAUUUCUUCGAAAUAGUGGGAGUAUUAUAAACUACUAAUUCAUAUUAAACUUGGACCAAUAGUUGUGAUAGGCCCAAGUUCUUUUAAUAAGAUUAAAAUGAUUUUGAUGUAGCCCAACACUACUCCCUCAAAACAAAUAUUAAGUUGAUAAGCGAGAGAUGUUUAGAAUAUCUCUUCGUAGGCCUUCCACCGUGGUGGGCUCCAAGCGUUUGUGACUCAUGCACCGGCUUCACCCUAUCAUGGGGAAGUACAAAGUAUGUGCUUACAUCCAGGAGGAGUCCAUAAACAUAUGAUGAUGAGGUGAGUGUAGGCAACGAGGAUAGCCGACAUCGUAUCAUCGUGAGGCUAUUCUUGAACCCCUUCACAAACUAAGCAUGGUGGGAAUAACUUAACUAAGUGCAAUGGAGCCGACAUCGUAUCAUCGUGAGGCAACAUUCUCUAGAGGCCAAACGGAUGGGUAAUUACAAAAGUUGUAAAUGAAUAAAGCGUUAUUCUCUCAUCAUUAUUUUUGCUAGCCAACAUCGUAUCAUCGUGAGGUGGGCUUGAUAAUGGUGAGUCUUCCAUACCCCGUUAAGAGUUCAAUAUAACUCUCGAAUUCCAUUGCAGGAUGUGGAAUUUGCCAAAAAUAGUGGGUGGUACUAUUUGAUUCAAAGACCCAAUCAAAUAGUUUUAAACAAACAAUCAAAUACGAUUUCUGUUAUGUUAUGUAGUUAACGACAUGCCUAAAAUUAUACCCACCAUUAUACUUGACAAAAGGGGCCUUAAAGGCCAACAUUUCCUUGCUUGGUAUCGCCACAUUGAGAAUAUCUCAAAGGUGAAAGACAUAUUGUAUGUGCUUAAGCAAUCCCCUCCUCAUGUACCUUCUACGAAACUAGCUUCAAAGGAGGAGUGUAAACUAUAACGUUUAUAUUGGGCUUUUAAGUUGGUUUUGGGUUUCGGGGCCCAAAAGUGUAUGACAACUAAAACAAAAUGGGCAUGUAGACAUCGAAAUUUCGGUAAAUAAAUGUUGACCAAUAAAUCAAAGUGUCAACGCUCAUGUAUUACAUAAAUUUUACACGUAGCGUGUGACUCAACGAAAAUUGAAAUGAGUUGGAAAAGUCAUCAAAUAGGACACGUGUCAACACCUAGCAGAAAUGACUUAUUUCAUCUGGGAUAUUAUAUUCAAAAUUAGGCCUUGGAAAUUUCUAUAAAUACAAGCCUAUUUCAUUCAUUUAAAGGGACCAAUUCAUAUUACACCUUGAAGCUCUGAAGCUCUGAAACUAAGCUCUCAAGCAUCCAGGUUCCCGAAGAAUCAAGAAAGCCUUCUUCAUUCUUCGUUCAUCGUUCUUUCAAGAUCAAGCCCCGACGACCCUUGAAGAAAGCAUCAUCGUUCAUCAUCCGUUCAUCCAAGAUCAAGCCC
This 2291-nucleotide long non-coding RNA is filed under the name Malus domestica (apple). RNAcentral's name for it is "long non-coding RNA (MDOM_LNC018908)". The record is from RNAcentral. Lineage: Eukaryota; Viridiplantae; Streptophyta; Magnoliopsida; Rosales; Rosaceae.